RNAcentral lists this unclassified non-coding RNA (940 nucleotides) under Hevea brasiliensis (rubber tree). The record is from RNAcentral. Lineage: Eukaryota; Viridiplantae; Streptophyta; Magnoliopsida; Malpighiales; Euphorbiaceae.
GGAAAGCAGAAACUAAAACCACAAAUCAGAGAAAGCACAUUACAUAGCUGUAAUUAUUGUGUUAUACAAUGGCAUUGACUUGUUACCAAUCCAAUCACAGAAGACUUCUCAGAUGCUCUGUAACUGAGAAAACGAAAUCCGGAUGGUUGAGCUACCAAGAGAUGUAGCAUUUUUGCAUACGAGUGCCUCAGUUGCCUGCUCCUCCUUUUCAAAAAGAACAAGAGCCUGCUGUUUGCCGUUCAUCUCAAAAAGCUUACUAUUGACUAUGGGACCAUGCUCCUCCAAAUGUGCGAUAAUCUCUGCCUCCGUUACAUCCUGGGGUAAGGAGGAUAGGUGGAUCAUCUUGGUAGGGGAGCAGCAGUACCGAUAGUUUUUAGCAGCAUUACGGUUAAAGCGGUUUAGAUUUGAAUUUGAGUAGUCAUGUGUGUCAGGUCCUGUAGUAAUAUUGGGAUACUUUGAGAAGUUGACUUCCAGACGCUUUUCAAAUAACACGGCACCCUUCAAAAAGUGAACAGCCAGCUCCGCCUGGAACCCAUCACCCAGCUGAACUAAGGCAUGAUCUGGUUUAUUGCGCAGAAUCUUAAUGCUGACAAUAUUUCCAUAAAGAGAGCACAGAUUAAAAAGUUUGUCCUCAUUUAUUCUAUCUGAAUUUAAAUUUGAAACAAGAAUAGUGCAUCUGUCAUUUGUCCCGCUAAUUCCAGGUGGCAGACCACCAGCAAACGCAGCUGCAAUUGCUUCUGCAUUUCCCAUCUGAGGAAAUCCACCUGGAUGAACUCCAGAACCUUGGAAGGAAUACAUGUCUCCAUAUCCUUGUUGAGAGGAUUUGCCCUUCUGUUCUGAUGGUAGAUUUGGGUUAGUGAAGUCCCUUGAACGUUCAUUAUUGUAGUUCACUUGCAAUUCAUCUAGAUUAGAGAACUGUAUGUCAAGCUGACAGCAGCCA